AUGGAUCUUGACUACGCACUUAGGGAGAAGGCUCCAGUUCCCUUGUCCUCUGAUGAUGAAAACCUUGCUGAGAGAACUAAGGUUUAUGAGGCUAACAAGGAGAAGUGGGAGCGCUCCAAUCGAUUGUCCCUCAUGAUCAUGAAAAGCACAAUUACUCUUGGGAUUAGGGGAGCUAUCCCCGAUUCCGAAUGUGCUAAGACUUAUCUGGCAUCGGUGGAGGAACAUUUUAAAGGCUCCACAAAAGUCUAUGCCAGUACAUUGAUCAUGAAAAAUGCUCACCACUAA
Molecule: ribosomal RNA, 285 nt
Filed under: Triticum aestivum (bread wheat)
Lineage: Eukaryota; Viridiplantae; Streptophyta; Magnoliopsida; Poales; Poaceae
Description: partial small subunit ribosomal RNA
Source: RNAcentral